GCGGCCCCGUCCCUCGCGCCCACCCGCGCCCGGCCGCCCUUUGCACGGCGGCAGCCAAGCAGGGCCCGGCAGGACGUGCUGAUGGGCCAGCACCCACGCACCCAUGGACCCACGCAUGUACCCGCACCCGUGCACCCACACGUGCAUGCACCUGCUCACCCGUGCAUGCAUGCAUGCACCCACCCGUGCAUGCACCCACACCCGUGCACCCACACGUGCAUGCACCUGCUCACCCGUGCAUGCAUGCACGCACCCAUGCAUGCACCCACACCCCCCCACCAUUGCAUCCCCCCCCCACGCGCACAUGCAUGGAGACGUGCUCUCACGUGCCCGUGCACCUGCACACGCGGCGAUGCACACGCACGCACACGUGCACUCCCGCACCCACGCGUGCACGCAAACCCACGUGCACACUCACCCACCCCCCCCACGCACCCUGCAGCCCGCAGCGGCACCCCCGGGUGCAGGGUGGGGGCAGAGCUGCUGUCGGCGGCGCGGAGCAGCCGCUGCGCUUUGCACGCAGCCCGGGCUUAUGCUGGGACCCAAAAAAGCCGGGAGGAAGAGGGUCACGGCCGCGGCGAGCGACACAUGCUCAGCGGAAACUCUGCAUGACCCCGGCGGAGAAGAUAACGCGAAGGGACGUCUGCGGCGCCGCCGGCCUUCCCUGACCCUGCUGCAAACCGGCUGUCGGAGCCGAAAACAGCCUGUCUGCUCGCUGCCCCCGCCGCUUGCCGGGUUGUGCAUCCCGGUGUGUCACUGCAGGGCUGCCGGAGCCCCGGGUUGUGCAUCCCGGUGUGUCAUUGCAGGGUUACAGGAGCCCCGGGUUGUGCAUCCCGGUGUGUCACUGCAGGGUUACAGGAGCCCCGGGUUGUGCAUCCUGGUGUGUCAUUGCAGGGCUGCCGGAGCCCCGGGUUGUGCAUCCCGGUGUGUCACUGCAGGGUUACAGGAGCCCCGGGUUGUGCAUCCCGGUGUGUCAUUGCGGGGCUGCCGGAGCCCCGGGUUGUGCAUCCCGGUGUGUCAUUGCGGGGCUGCCGGAGCCCCGGGUUGUGCAUCCCGGUGUGUCAUUGCAGGGCUGCCGGAGCCCCGGGUUGUGCAUCCCGGUGUGUCACUGCAGGGCUGCCGGAGCCCUGGGUUGUGCAUCCCGGUGUGUCAUUGCAGGGCUGCCGGAGCCUCGGGUUGUGCAUCCCGGUGUGUCAUUGCAGGGUUACAGGAGCUCCGGGUUGUGCAUCCCGGUGUGUCAUUGCAGGGUUACAGGAGCUCCGGGUUGUGCAUCCCGGUGUGUCAUUGCAGGGCUGCCGGAGCCCCGGGUUGCGCAUCCCGGCGCGUUAUUGCAGGUCCGCGGCUCUGGGAGCAGCUGCCGGAGCCAGGCCGUGCCGGUGCAUUUCCCCUGGGGCUGCGGCCAGCGCCGUCUGGGCUCCGGAUCAAUUAUUCGUGUUGCUCUUCCCAGCGCUCCAGCUACGGCCUGCACGUGUGGCCUGGCUCCUGGGGACACGGGGGUGUCUUGGUCCAGGCUGGCGCCCUGGGGACACGAUGGUAUCUUGGUCCAGGCUGGCACCCCAGGGACACCAGUGCAGCAGGCAGCAGGGCCAUGGGGACAGCGGGGCCACGGGGAUGGUGGGGCGACGGGGAUCGACGGCAGGGCGAGGGGACAGCGGGGCAGCGGGGACGGCGGGGCAAUGGGGCAGGGGGCAAUGGGGAUGACGGGGUGAUGAUGGGGUGA
RNAcentral lists this long non-coding RNA (1720 nucleotides) under Apteryx haastii (Great spotted kiwi). Its description in RNAcentral is "lncRNA (ENSAHAG00000018576.1)". Lineage: Eukaryota; Metazoa; Chordata; Aves; Apterygiformes; Apterygidae. The record is from RNAcentral.